RNAcentral lists this ribosomal RNA (200 nucleotides) under uncultured bacterium. RNAcentral's name for it is "partial 16S ribosomal RNA". It matches the Rfam family "Bacterial small subunit ribosomal RNA", at positions 524 to 723 of the family's 1533-position model. The record is from RNAcentral.
UACGAGGGGUCCAAGCGUUGUUCGGAAUUACUGGGCGUAAAGCGGGUGUAGGCGGCUUGGUCAGUCGGAUGUGAAAGCCCAGGGCUCAACCCUGGAAGUGCAUCCGAUACUGCCAAGCUUGAAUACUGGAGAGGGAAGUGGAAUUCCUGGUGUAGCGGUGAAAUGCGUAGAUAUCAGGAGGAACAUCGGUGGCGAAGGCG